GUGUGCAGAGACACUGAGGUGGGGUGGAUCCAUGGAGGAGGCGUGCAGAGACACUGAGGUGGGUGGAUCCAUGGAGGAGGCAGAGACACUGAGGUGGGGUGGAUCCAUGGAGGAGGCAGAGACACUGAGGUGGUGUGGAUCCAUGGAGGAGGCAGAGACACUGAGGUGGGGUGGAUCCAUGGAGGAGGCAGAGACACUGAGGUGGGGUGGAUCCAUGGAGGAGGCAGAGACACUGAGGUGGGGUGAAUCCAUGGAGGAGGCAGAGACACUGAGGUGGGGUGGAUCCAUGGAGGAGGCAGAGACACUGAGGUGGUGUGGAUCCAUGGAGGAGGCAGAGACACUGAGGUGGGGUGGAUCCAUGGAGGAGGCAGAGACACUGAGGUGGGGUGGAUCCAUGGAGGAGGCAGAGACACUGAGGUGGGAUGGAUCCAUGGAGGAGGCAGAGACACUGAGGUGGAUCCAUGGAGGAGGCAGAGACACCGAGGUGGGGUGGAUCCAUGGAGGAGGCGUGCAGAGACACUGAGGUGGGUGGAUCCAUGGAGGAGGCGUGCAGAGACACUGAGGUGGGGUGGAUCCAUGGAGGAGGCAGAGACACCGAGGUGGGGUGGAUCCAUGGAGGAGGCAGAGACACUGAGGUGGAUCCAUGGAGGAGGCAGAGACACCGAGGUGGGGUGGAUCCAUGGAGGAGGCGUGCAGAG
Molecule: long non-coding RNA, 698 nt
Organism: Esox lucius (northern pike)
Lineage: Eukaryota; Metazoa; Chordata; Actinopteri; Esociformes; Esocidae
Source: Ensembl